GGGAUUGCCUCAGUAACUGCGAGUGAAGUGGCAAAAGCUCAAAUUUGAAAUCCGGUACCAGUGGUGCCUGAGUUGUAAUUUGGAGAGGCAAAUUUUGUUGAUGGCACCGGUCUAGGUUCCUUGGAACAGGACAACAUAGAGGGUGAGAAUCCCGUACCUGGCUGGACCGCUAUCGCUCUGAUAAAUUGUCUUCGACGAGUCGAGUUGUUUGGGAAUGCAGCUCAAAAUGGGUGGUAAAUGUCAUCUAAAGCUAAAUAUUGGCGAGAGACCGAUAGCGCACAAGUAGAGUGAUCGAAAGAUGAAAAGCACUUUGAAAAGAGAGUCAAAAAGUACGUGAAAUUGCUGAAAGGGAAGCGCUUGAGACCAGACUCGAGCCGUGGUGAUCAGCCGUGCUUCUGGACGGUGCCACUCGCCACGGUUUGGGCCAGCAUCGGUUCUGGCGGCCGGAUAAAAGGUGGGGGAAUGUAGCUUCCUUCGGGGAGUGUUAUAGCCCUCAUCACAAUGCGGCCAGCUGGGACUGAGGACCGCGCUUCAGGCUAGGA
This 542-nucleotide ribosomal RNA is filed under the name Humaria sp. Its description in RNAcentral is "LSU rRNA". It matches the Rfam family "Eukaryotic large subunit ribosomal RNA", at positions 71 to 612 of the family's 3401-position model. Lineage: Eukaryota; Fungi; Ascomycota; Pezizomycetes; Pezizales; Pyronemataceae. The record is from RNAcentral.